GUGUCAGCCGCCGCGGUAAUACGGAGGGGGCUAGCGUUGUUCGGAAUUACUGGGCGUAAAGCGCACGUAGGCGGCUUUGUAAGUUAGAGGUGAAAGCCCGGAGCUCAACUCCGGAACUGCCUUUAAGACUGCAUCGCUUGAACGUCGGAGAGGUAAGUGGAAUUCCGAGUGUAGAGGUGAAAUUCGUAGAUAUUCGGAAGAACACCAGUGGCGAAGGCGACUUACUGGACGACUGUUGACGCUGAGGUGCGAAAGCGUGGGGAGCAAACAGGAUUAGAAACCCUCGUAGUCC
RNAcentral lists this ribosomal RNA (292 nucleotides) under uncultured bacterium. Its description in RNAcentral is "partial 16S ribosomal RNA". It matches the Rfam family "Bacterial small subunit ribosomal RNA", at positions 505 to 796 of the family's 1533-position model. The record is from RNAcentral.